Non-coding RNA from Nicotiana tabacum (common tobacco), 765 nucleotides. The record is from RefSeq and is a predicted model, not a curated record. NCBI's taxonomy places the organism in Eukaryota, Viridiplantae, Streptophyta, Magnoliopsida, Solanales, Solanaceae.
CCCCCCAAACAAAGAAAACCUUCAGCCGUCGCCUACCUGGAAAAAAAGCUAGACGAAAUUCCUCCAAACUCGGAACAUCACCAGCAAACGAAGAGGGGUUCUGAUUUCUGAAAACUCAACCAUGUUACUAACUCGAACCAAAUCAAAGAUUUAUGUUCACAAUCCCUCUUCCCCCAAUUUCUCCUACCCUUCUUUCAAAGAUGUUCAAACCCUUUGUUCUGGCGAUUCAAUUUCCAGCAACAACCCACCCCACUCCCUAAGACGAAAAAAAAAGAGCAUGAGCUCUGAAAAAUAGUGAGGAGAUCGAGAAAGGGUCCUUUGUUUGAGUUCCUCACCGUGAGCAGAUUUCCGUUCUUGGUUCGAGUUCGUUGUUACAUUUUGCUUCGGGUUGUAUUCAAAAGCUUAAAUUUGAAUAAAAGUUAAAGAGGAAUUGGCUGAAAUUUUGCUAUUUGAUGCUGAUUAUUGCUCAAAUGAACUCAAGGCAUUAGGUAUGGAUCCAUGUACCAGAGCUCGAGCAUGACAGAUACCCUAGGACCAUCAUAUUUGGGAGCUUGUUUGGGGAAACUUUUUAUGUUUUGAGUCUAUUUUUGUGCUGUUUUUUUUACUUUCUAAUCUUGUCUAGUAGUAUGCAGUCUUUUAGUUGGUGUCAGAGUUUGUCGUAGUAUAGUUGAGUUUGUCGAGUCUCUCGUUAUCGUACUUCCUGUUUUGUAUUUGAAAAUCGAAAAAAAGUUAUAAAUGAAAAAUCCAAAAAUAUUUUAUUUUUAA